CGGGACUCAACGCCUUGUAAUUGGAAUGAUGGGAACCUAAACCCCUUCCAGAGUAUCAAUUGGAGGGCAAGUCUGGUGCCAGCAGCCGCGGUAAUUCCAGCUCCAAUAGCGUAUAUUAAAAUUGUUGCAGUUAAAAAGCUCGUAGUUGAAUUUCUGCCGCCCCGCCGCGGCCCCCGGGCCCGACGUCGCGGCUUAUUUCGGCGACCUCGCGCCGCCGAAUGUUUACUUUGAGAAAAUUAGAGUGCUCAAAGCAGGCCCUUGCCUUGAAUACUUUAGCAUGGAAUAAUAAAGUAGGACUUUGGUUCUAUUUUGUUGGUUUAGCGCCAAAGUAAUGGUUAAUAGGAACAGUUGGGGGCAUUCGUAUUUAACUGUCAGAGGUGAAAUUCUUAGAUUUGUUAAAGACGAACCACUGCGAAAGCAUUUGCCAAGGAUGUUUUCAUUAAUCAAGAAC
Molecule: ribosomal RNA, 451 nt
Filed under: Theileria mutans
Lineage: Eukaryota; Apicomplexa; Aconoidasida; Piroplasmida; Theileriidae
Description: SSU rRNA
Rfam family: Eukaryotic small subunit ribosomal RNA
Source: RNAcentral